CCUACGGGGGGCAGCAGUGGGGAAUCUUCCGCAAUGGGCGAAAGCCUGACGCAGCGACGCCGCGUGAGGGAUGAAGGUCUUCGGAUCGUAAACCUCUGUCAGCAGGGAAGAACGGUCACUGUGCUAAUCAGCAGUGAAUUGACGGUACCUGCAAAGGAAGCACCGGCUAACUCCGUGCCAGCAGCCGCGGUAAUACGGAGGGUGCGAGCGUUAAUCGGAAUUACUGGGCGUAAAGCGCUCGUAGGCGGUAUGUCAAGUCAAGGGUGAAAUCCCCGCGCUUAACGGGGGUACUGCCUUUGAAACUGGGAGACUGGAGUGUAGAAGAGGAGAGUGGAAUUCCAUGUGUAGGGGUGAAAUGCGUAGAUAUAUGGAAGAACAUCAGUGGCGAAAGCGACUAUCUGGUACGUAACUGACGCUGAGGUUCGAAAGCGUGGGUAGCAAACAGGAUUAGAUACCCGUGUAGUC
This 465-nucleotide ribosomal RNA is filed under the name uncultured bacterium. RNAcentral describes it as "partial 16S ribosomal RNA". It matches the Rfam family "Bacterial small subunit ribosomal RNA", at positions 338 to 795 of the family's 1533-position model. The record is from RNAcentral.